UACUCUAACAUGAUUUUUCGGCAGUUUUAAAACAACCACAAAGGAAAGUUCCGAUAACAUGGUGGCAGCACCACCGUCCUUCCGCCACCAAACUCGAAUGCCACCGCCGGAAGUUCCCAGCGGUGCGUCUCGCACCCAACUCCUGUUGCAGCAGUCACCGGUCGCCACCCUCGAAUCCGACGCUCACGUACCGCCACCGCCGUGCCCAUUCUUUGACCCCAUUCAGCUUCCAGCUUGAGUGGAUCUGUGUGAAAGCUCCCCUCACAAAAUCGAAUUGUAGCUAGAGAGAAGUUUGGAAUUUUAGUUUGUGUUUAUUAGUUAUCUGCGGUUCUUGCUUGGGGAGAUUUCUAAUGGAGAAGAAUAGUUUGACGGUGACAUCACCGGAUUCACUAAAAGGUGUUUAUUGAAAGCCCGAUUGAGAAUUUUGGGGUUCCUCAAUAUGGAGGAACGAUGUCUGGGCCAGUCUGGCUCUGUUUUCUACCUUAAUUCCAAUCAGAAGGGGUGCAGUAGCUUUGAAGAUGUCGAAGCUUCCUUGAAGAAGCAGCCUGGGGGCAUCCCAAUCUUCAUUCUUGCUGAUAGAUGGGGGAAAUUUGAUCAAUUUUCCCCUUUUAGACGUCUUUUUAUUCACCAAUUUUGUAUGAAUAGGGAGGUUGCUCUUGAUCGUGCUGUUCUGUAGUUUAAUUUAUGUGAUGAUUGCAUGUGUUUAACUUGAUUUUUUUGCUUACUUUGUGUUCAAUACUUUUGGUUGUUAGGAAUCUAUGAACUUAGAGAAAUUUUGGGAUAAGAUUUGUUAGGGUAAUUAUAAGAAUUCAAGCUAAUACGGAAUUAAAGCAAAAGUCAUCUCCUAAUCAUAGAUUAGUAAAAAUAAUUUAAUAUCUUAACCACUACCCUUAUAUUUCACCCACAACACCUUUUUUAGUUUUCUUAGUCUCCGUGCCCACCCUCAAAUGGGGCUUUAAUUCGUGGAAGGAUUUUAGUAAAAGAUCCGUUUCCAUUCUGGCUUUCGGCUCCUACCACUAUUUCAAAUUUUGUUCCAAUGGCCACCAACGGGGCAGCGGCGAUUUCCUCACUACACCCUCCGACACCCCCGUCAGGUGGGAAGUCGGCUUUUGGAAAACACAAUCAACAGCAGCAGGCUAUGGACACUUUGAACAAACGGAGAUUCGAGGCCUACAACCGGCUUCAGGCAGCCGCACUCCCGAUCCCCGAAAUCGUGGCGCUGUGCAGCCAGUCCGACGGCAAGAGCUCGCUGCUAUGAAGAGGAGUCCAGUGACCGUUGGGAAGUGGAUCGCUAUUUGAGUGCGAGCGGAUACCUUGGGGAGAACACUCCCCUUUUUUGUUGCUCUUCCAAAGGAUAGAAGUACACUUUCGAAUGAUGAGUUUCGUAGGAAAAUAUCUCAGGUAGAUACGGAAGUGAUACACCAUUUACAUGAUGCAGUCAAAGGUGGAUUUGAUGAAGACAAGUAUAGAUCCUACAUAGGUUUC
Molecule: long non-coding RNA, 1485 nt
Organism: Salvia miltiorrhiza (redroot sage)
Lineage: Eukaryota; Viridiplantae; Streptophyta; Magnoliopsida; Lamiales; Lamiaceae
Exons: 3
Source: RefSeq, a predicted model, not a curated record